GCUUUGUACUGGUUUGAGACUGCACAGACUUUGAGUCCCUGAGGCAAGCCCCCUGCAAACUGAGGCUUUGGCUGCCCUUGCUGAGUCAACCAAGGCUUUCAAAAAGGCAGACUGUAAAAAGAAGGAAAGGCCUUUUUGGCCAAUGAAUCAGGCAGUUCAGACUGGAGUUGCCUCCUGGAUGCUUUUGGAGAUGUGGGGAAUGAAAACACAUUGAUCUGGACCAGAGUUUAACCUAAUGGUUAUUAGGCUAAUGCUCUUAUGGUUCCAGAAGGAUAAGAAUCCAUCACGGCAGGGAGGCAUGGCAACAGGAGGCAAGAAGAGAAAUCUGAGAGAUCGCAUUUCAACCACCUACAGGAAGCGGACAGCAAACUGGAAAUCUGAAUACAUCUAUGACCUGGGAAAAGAGAACAAAAGAAUAAAUGCUAUUAGCUUGAUAAGACCAAGAUGACAAAUCAGUACAGUGGAGGAAGAUGUGUAUUUUCCGGCAAAAACUCAACUGUUAGCCUUCUAGACAGAAGAGCCCAUCCUCUUCCGGUUCAGAAUUCUCCAGAGUAAAAUUGUCCCAAAGAGACUUCUAGCUAUACAUUCCUUUGAAUGACAUCCUGUGGAUAGUGUAAGAGAUGUCUCUCUGUCUCUGCUCACCUUGAAGGCUAAGUGGAAGCACCAUUUUUCUGGAAAUACCUUCCCCGGCCAGAGCACCUUCCAGCUGCUGGGGCUGAUUUCCUCACGCCCACCUGUGUCACAAUGACAUGGUACCCUGUGUUAGCUUACAUGACACAGCCUUGGGGUUACUUGUGUAUGCGUUUGCUUCCCAAAUUAACUGCAAAGACUUAAAGGCCAGGCUCCAGAGCGUAGUCACAGAGGCGCCUUCCUGCUUUACACAG
Long non-coding RNA from Nannospalax galili (Upper Galilee mountains blind mole rat), 884 nucleotides. RefSeq lists it as uncharacterized. NCBI's taxonomy places the organism in Eukaryota, Metazoa, Chordata, Mammalia, Rodentia, Spalacidae. The record is from RefSeq and is a predicted model, not a curated record. The transcript is spliced from 4 exons.